UUACAGGAUGAAAACGAAUACAUAAUUGUGAAGAGACUCCAUAUAUUACUCGAAUGCAAAGGCCUUGUGACAACUCCCACACUCUAACAGUUUUAUCCAUGGAUGAGGAUGCAAUGUACUGAUUGUUGGAUGAGAAGUCAAAAUCUGAAAGUAUACUUAUGGUUUAGAAACAUGGCAAUGACAGCAAUAUUUCAGACAUUUAACAUUCAGCAUGAGUAUAGUCAUUAAACACUUGCUUUUCAAUAUCAUUGAAUAAUGUUCCUCGCUUAUUUUAGUAAAAAAGUACCCCUCCAAUCAGAAUCCCAAACUGGAAAAAGAGUCAACUUUGAUGAUGCUCCAGAGAAAGUGGAACUGAACAUGCAAUUCAUAAUUCUUAACUGGGAAAGUUCAUAAAAAAUACCUUGUGAUUUAGCACUUUGACACUUAAACUAUGCAUGGAUAGAGGUAUAAUGGAGGGGAAGGGAGGAGAAAUUCCCUUGUAGUACUUGAAAUUCAUUGCAACCCAACUUGGGGUGUUAAAAAUUCCAACUCAUUGAAACAAAAUUAUUUUUAUAACUUCAAUUCACUUUCCCUUCCACCCC
Molecule: unclassified non-coding RNA, 581 nt
Filed under: Hevea brasiliensis (rubber tree)
Lineage: Eukaryota; Viridiplantae; Streptophyta; Magnoliopsida; Malpighiales; Euphorbiaceae
Source: RNAcentral